GACGAACGCUGGCGGCGUGCUUAACACAUGCAAGUCGAGCGGAAAGGCCACUUCGGUGGUACUCGAGCGGCGAACGGGUGAGUAACACGUGAGUAAUCUGCCCCUGGCUUUGGGAUAGCCACCGGAAACGGUGAUUAAUACCGGAUACGACCACUUCUCGCAUGGGAUGGUGGUGGAAAGUUUUUUCGGCCAGGGAUGUGCUCGCGGCCUAUCAGCUUGAUGGUGAGGUAAUGGCUCACCAUGGCUUCGACGGGUAGCCGGCCUGAGAGGGUGACCGGUCACCGUGGGACUGAGACACGGCCCAGACUCCUACGGGAGGCAGCAGUGGGGAAUAUUGGACAAUGGGCGGAAGCCUGAUCCAGCAACGCCGCGUGAGGGAUGACGGCCUUCGGGUUGUAAACCUCUUUCAGCAGGGACGAAGCGCAAGUGACGGUACCUGCAGAAGAAGCACCGGCCAACUACGUGCCAGCCGCCGCGGUAA
Molecule: ribosomal RNA, 481 nt
Filed under: uncultured bacterium
Lineage: Bacteria
Description: partial 16S ribosomal RNA
Rfam family: Bacterial small subunit ribosomal RNA
Source: RNAcentral